GCCCGCUUGGCUCAUCGGUAGAGCGCCUCACUAGUAAUGAGGAGGUAAUUGGUUCGACUCCAGUAGUGGGCA
Molecule: transfer RNA, 72 nt
Organism: Microdochium bolleyi
Lineage: Eukaryota; Fungi; Ascomycota; Sordariomycetes; Xylariales; Microdochiaceae
Rfam family: tRNA
About the family: Transfer RNA (tRNA) molecules are approximately 80 nucleotides in length. Their secondary structure includes four short double-helical elements and three loops (D, anti-codon, and T loops). Further hydrogen bonds mediate the characteristic L-shaped molecular structure. tRNAs have two regions of fundamental functional importance: the anti-codon, which is responsible for specific mRNA codon recognition, and the 3' end, to which the tRNAs corresponding amino acid is attached (by aminoacyl-tRNA synthetases). tRNAs cope with the degeneracy of the genetic code in two manners: having more than one tRNA (with a specific anti-codon) for a particular amino acid; and 'wobble' base-pairing, i.e. permitting non-standard base-pairing at the 3rd anti-codon position.
Source: Rfam